Molecule: long non-coding RNA, 957 nt
Organism: Helianthus annuus (common sunflower)
Lineage: Eukaryota; Viridiplantae; Streptophyta; Magnoliopsida; Asterales; Asteraceae
Exons: 2
Source: RefSeq, a predicted model, not a curated record
AUCAAUUUCUCACCCAAACCACACACACACCUCUCGGUCCCUCUCUCCCUCGUCGACGUCUGACCACCGGUAAAUCGAUGGAGCCGGCGACUCCCCUCUCUCCGGCGACUUUCACCUGCAACACCCACUCCCUUUUCACCGAUCGUACCCCCCCCCUGUGUUGAUUAUCGGCUGAUGGUGGUGGCGGCACGGCAUCAACGACAGAGAACCGGCAGAGCCGGUGGUGGUGCGGCGGCUGCUAUCAGGGAGGAGAGAGAGAGACUCGGAGGAAAGAGAGAGCGGCGGUGGUGGUGGAUCCUCACGGCGGCGACGGUGGCGGCGUGGUUUUGUUCAGCGGCGGAGGUGGAUGCGGGACCCACAACAGGUGGCAGUGGAUGGUGUCGAUAGGCAGCAGAUGAAAGAGAGAGAGAGCUGAGAAGAAUGAAAGAACCGGCGGUCGGUGCCUUUGACCGCCGGACAUUGUGUUUAUCCGGCAAAGUUCACCGGUUUCGGGUUGUUCAAGUCUUGAUUCAGAUCCGAAGUGGUUCGAGUCUUGUUCGGGUCUCGCGGCACGGUUCAAAACGGGUCAGCAGCUCAGUCAAACGGCUCGGUUCGGUUUGACUCGGUCAAACCGAGUCAACUCAGUGUUCGGGUCAGCCGGUUCGCAACAGUAAAUGAUUUUGGUUUCAGUUCAGAUUCGCAUAUGGGGCUCGCAGAUCAAGUCUUGCGAUUCGGCCCGGGUCGACUCGGUCAAACCCGAGUCAACUCGGUUAACGCAGUCAAAGCAAGUCAACUCAGUUGACUUGGUCAACCCAGUCAACCCUUUCAGCAAUCGACACGAGAGUUUUGGGUAAUAGUUAAAGCCGUGGUUUCGUUAUGUUAUUUUUAUAAUUUUUAUCUAACGUGACAAACGAGCUCGAACCGACUAACGAAUCUGCAUUUAGUGAGUUGAUUAUUCAUAUUUGGCAUUUUGAUAAA